This 1503-nucleotide long non-coding RNA is filed under the name Equus caballus (horse). Its description in RNAcentral is "lncRNA (ENSECAG00000057034.1)". Lineage: Eukaryota; Metazoa; Chordata; Mammalia; Perissodactyla; Equidae. The record is from RNAcentral.
CUUCAAAGACCCCUUACACUCUGUUCUUGGUUGUUCCAGCUUCAUCCUGGUCUGAAUCUCCGUCCUAUGAAUUGCCUUUCUGGGUUUCCUUCCUCAAGAGAAAAAUGGGGUUACUAAUGCCAACAGGAAGAAAUGAUAAGAAAACUAAACAUGGAGGUAGAAGAAUUGUUCCAACCCUGAGACUGCCAUUUAAUGAGUGUGUGAACUGGAGAAAGUCACUUACUAUCUCUCAGUCUGAAUUUACUCAUCCUACGACAUGAACUUGGCAAGGUACUAGUGAAAACUAGUGCCCAAACAAAGCGUGGAUCACACAGCCGACACUUCUAUGUAAUGUGAGAAUAUUUUGACUUUCCUUUCUCUCACGAAGGUGUGGUCUAAUGUGUUGGUAACUGCCCAAGAAAGGAUCUGAGUAUCGUUCCAGCUGCAGUAUGAGGAGAAUGGUUUGGCACAAGACAGGAGAAGAUUUGGGAAGACCCAUGGCAGAUGAUUGCUGUAUUCCAGGGGACAGAUUGUAGUGGCCGAGAUUACUGUGGACUCUUUGGAAACAGAUCGAUGUGGCUUCUUUGACAGAUACAUAGAAAAUGGAACAAUCAAGAUUUUAUUCUAUUUGAAUGUGUGGGGGCCCUACCCUAGACAUAUCAAGGAACAACUCAGGGUCAGAUCAGCUAUCUGUGUUGUAACCAGGCCUCCAGGUCAUUUGGAUGCACUCUCAAUGUUGGGAUCUCUGACUAGACAAUGAAAUUAGGGCUCCUGCCCUUUACCCAAGCUCUCCCUGUCCGUCCCCCUCAUCCUUCACUCACCACCUCCCAAAUCCCAAUGACUAGAGCUUCUACAGUUCAAAUGGGGGGCAGCAAUGGCCAAAAGGAAGGGGUUCUUAGAAUUCAUCAGAGAAUCAGUAAGCAAGCACUGAAAAAGGAGAAAUCAACUGGAAAAGCAUCCUUCCCAAUCUAUCAAUGGCUAUACCCAUUGAUUGACUGUGUGCUCAUUCACACUGCAGUGUGGUGGUGACAAGUACCGGCUCAGGGGCCAGAAGGCCUGGAUGCAAAUCCCAGCUCUACCACCUACCAGUUGUGUGACACCAAGCAAGGCAUUUCACCUCCCUCCAUAUAUUUCCUCAUCUGUGAAAUGAGGAGAAAAAAUACACCAUCUCAUGGAGUCACCAUAAGGAUUAAAUGUCUAAAUAGAUGUAAAGUUUCGAUAACAGUGCCUGCGAUGCACAGUAAGCACAAUUGAAUUGUUAGUAUCUAACAAUCUAAGAGAUCCAAGAGCAUCACUAUUCAAAAUCAGCCAUCAUCGUUAACUUUACCUGACUUCGUACACUCAACAAACAUUUGUUUAGAAAUUUAAGAUUGUGAAAUAGCUGGAUUAUAGUGUUAAAAAAAAUAAACCGGAAUAUUACUAGGUGUUCAAGCCCCUUCUUAAGAAUGAAGGCCUCUCUCUUUGUCCUGUCUCCCCAGGGUGUUCUCCAGAGAAUAGCAACACAUGGUCCAGGGAAAGCACAGA